GGCCACGCGGCGACCAUCCAACGCCCCGGGCGAGGAUAAGAGCGAGCCCGACUGCUCUCUCUCCCUGGCACGCCCGUCCCCUUCCUCCCUCGCGUCACCCUCCUCUCUACAGCCGCAGCUGAGCGCCACCAUCGCCGUGUCGCCAUGGCCACCGGCUACCCCGCGUCACUGGAGCAUGUCCAGGAGGCACAUAGGCGUCGCCUUCAUCGAAUACGACACCGGACCGAGGCGGGGAAACCUCAUCGGCACCGCCGUCGGCUAGUCUUCUUCAUCGGCCUCCGCCACUUCUCGCCAAUGAUUCAUCGCCCAGGUCCACCCCCGGCUCCCCGAGCUCCCCUCUGGCCUCUCGACCCCAAGACCGUUGCCGAUGCCCGUGUGAUCGACUACAUCGGCAAUGUUCCGUAGCUAUCUGCGGAGCUUCCAGUUGCUGCGAUCAGAUGGUGGAUCCUAGGAGCCAGAUGCCACCACUGACGACUAUUACUACUCCCCAAGGGUGCCAACUACUACAUGGAGACCGCCGACGACCAAGAGUAGUUAGGAGGUUCCCAGGCAGGAGGCCUUGCCUUUUUGAUCUAUGAUGAUUUUGUGCUAGCCUUCUUAAGGCAAACUUGUUUAACUUAUGUAUGUACUCAGAUAUUCUUUCUUUCGCUGACUCGUUUAUAUUCGAGCUUAUGUAUUCAAGCCCUCGAGGCCCCUGGCUUGCAAUGUAAGGUUUGUAUUAUUUUAA
Molecule: ribosomal RNA, 727 nt
Filed under: Triticum aestivum (bread wheat)
Lineage: Eukaryota; Viridiplantae; Streptophyta; Magnoliopsida; Poales; Poaceae
Description: partial small subunit ribosomal RNA
Source: RNAcentral